RNAcentral lists this ribosomal RNA (274 nucleotides) under uncultured bacterium. Its description in RNAcentral is "partial 16S ribosomal RNA". It matches the Rfam family "Bacterial small subunit ribosomal RNA", at positions 523 to 796 of the family's 1533-position model. The record is from RNAcentral.
ACACGUACCGUACGAACGUUAUUCGGAAUUAUUGGGCUUAAAGGGUGCGUAGGCGGCGUCGUAAGUCGGGUGUGAAAUCCCUCAGCUCAACUGAGGAACUGCGCCCGAAACUGCGACGCUUGAGGGAGACAGGGGUGAGCGGAACUGAUGGUGGAGCGGUGAAAUGCGUUGAUAUCAUCAGGAACACCGGUGGCGAAAGCGGCUCACUGGGUCUCUUCUGACGCUGAGGCACGAAAGCUAGGGUAGCGAACGGGAUUAGAAACCCCAGUAGUCC